RNAcentral lists this ribosomal RNA (376 nucleotides) under uncultured bacterium. RNAcentral's name for it is "bacterial SSU rRNA". It matches the Rfam family "Bacterial small subunit ribosomal RNA", at positions 523 to 898 of the family's 1533-position model. The record is from RNAcentral.
AUACGUAGGGGGCGAGCGUUGUCCGGAAUUACUGGGCGUAAAGGGUGCGUAGGCGGAUAUGCAAGUCCGAUGUGAAAGACUUCGGCUUAACCGAGGAGCUGCAUUGGAAACUGCAUAUCUAGAGUGCAGGAGAGGGAAGCGGAAUUCCUAGUGUAGCGGUGAAAUGCGUAGAUAUUAGGAGGAACACCAGUGGCGAAGGCGGCUUCCUGGACUGUAACUGACGCUGAGGCACGAAAGCUGGGGGAGCAAACAGGAUUAGAUACCCUGGUAGUCCCAGCCGUAAACGAUGGGUACUAGGUGUUGCUGCUGUUAAGGCGGCAGUGCCGGAGCUAACGCAAUAAGUACCCCGCCUGGGGAGUACGGCCGCAAGGCUGAA